GAAUCCUUGGUAGCGUAGCUAACGCGUGAAGUUGACCGCCUGGGGAGUACGGCCGCAAGGUUAAAACUCAAAGGAAUUGACGGGGACCCGCACAAGCGGUGGAUGAUGUGGAUUAAUUCGAUGCAACGCGAAAAACCUUACCUGCUCUUGACAUGUACGGAACUUGCCAGAGAUGGCUUGGUGCCCGAAAGGGAGCCGUAACACAGGUGCUGCAUGGCUGUCGUCAGCUCGUGUCGUGAGAUGUUGGGUUAAGUCCCGCAACGAGCGCAACCCUUGUCAUUAGUUGCCAUCAU
Molecule: ribosomal RNA, 293 nt
Filed under: Chromobacterium violaceum
Lineage: Bacteria; Pseudomonadati; Pseudomonadota; Betaproteobacteria; Neisseriales; Chromobacteriaceae
Description: partial 16S ribosomal RNA
Rfam family: Bacterial small subunit ribosomal RNA
Source: RNAcentral